GACAAACGCUGGCGGCGUGUAUUAGGCAUGCAAGUCGCACGGACCUUCGGGUCAGUGGCGGACGGGUGAGUAACACGUGGGUAACCUGCCCUGCAGUGGGGAAUAACCCGUCGAAAGACGGGCUAAUACCGCAUAUUACUCUCGGUGAGAAUCCGGGAAGUAAAAGCAGCAAUGCGCUGUAGGAGGGGCCCGCGGCCGAUUAGCUAGUUGGUGAGGUAACGGCCCACCAAGGCGACGAUCGGUAGCUGGUCUGAGAGGAUGGUCAGCCACACGGGGACUGAGAUACGGCCCCGACUCCUACGGGAGGCAGCAGCUAAGAAUCUUGCGCAAUGGGCGAAAGCCUGACGCAGCAACGCCGCGUGGAGGACGAAGGCCCUCGGGUCGUAAACUCCUUUUGCGAGGGAAGAAGAUCUGACGGUACCUCGCGAAUAAGCCACGGCUAACUACGUGCCAGCAGCCGCGGUAAUGUGUGACUG
Molecule: ribosomal RNA, 476 nt
Filed under: uncultured bacterium
Lineage: Bacteria
Description: bacterial SSU rRNA
Rfam family: Bacterial small subunit ribosomal RNA
Source: RNAcentral